RNAcentral lists this long non-coding RNA (601 nucleotides) under Olea europaea subsp. europaea. The record is from RNAcentral. Lineage: Eukaryota; Viridiplantae; Streptophyta; Magnoliopsida; Lamiales; Oleaceae.
CUUACUCAUAACAGAAAUUGAGAAAAGGAAAAUGGAUCGAAUAUGUACUUAAAAUAAUUAUUUUUUCCAGCUGUUAAGGAGUUCAAAAUUGUACAAUUUACUUAUAAUCAAUUGAAUUGGUCACUGGACAGCUCUAUCCUAACGACUGUUUCUCUUUAUCGUUUGCUCUAUAUAUUGGAGUUAUUGAACACAAUUAGCCAUAACAUUCUAAAUAAAGCACCAAGAGACUGCUUCUAUUCUUCUCACUAGACAAAAAGAGACAGGAGCCGUCGAGGCAAAAAAUUGACCGGAAUUGGGGAAGUAUUUUGGUGUAGAAAUGACGACACAGGGCGGCGGCCCCGUAAGGGGUCGUGUUCUGCCACAGUUACUAGUGGCAUUGGCCAUUUUGGCAGUUUCAAAUGUGGUUUCGGCUGACCCUUAUGUUUAUUCAUCACCACCACCACCGUCUGAGUACAAGUCGCCGCCACCACCUUCACCUUCUCCAGCACCAAAGUAUGAGUACAAGUCACCACCACCACCACCAAAGUAUGAGUACAAGUCGCCACCACCACCUUCACCAUCACCACUGCCACCGUAUGAGUACAAGUCACCACCACCACCA